This is a long non-coding RNA of Cryptomeria japonica (Japanese cedar), 757 nucleotides long. RefSeq lists it as uncharacterized. NCBI's taxonomy places the organism in Eukaryota, Viridiplantae, Streptophyta, Pinopsida, Cupressales, Cupressaceae. The transcript has 3 exons. The record is from RefSeq and is a predicted model, not a curated record.
UGAAUUUUACCUUUACUUUUCUGUGUCUUGCAUGCCUGCUAAACUAGGUUUAUUGAAUUUUACCCUACGCCUGUUUCCGUCGCUCUUUCAAGCGGCCUUCUUUCUGGACGAGAUUAGUAAUGAGAAGUUGUACAGGCAAACUCCCAAGUAGCAAGAGAAUUUAUAUUUCAUGUUUCAAGCUACUUGAAUGCGAACCCUUCCAUAAUACGCGAUGGCUAGUCACUCCACUGCUUUUUAUAGUGGCUUUGGAGGAUUUUUGGAAUCCGACAUGGAGAAGGCCACAUUGUCUGCAUUACAUAGAAAGGGCAACAAUGUCUGCAUGUUUUUGGUGCCGUUGGCGUUACCUACGGUGGUGCUGCAAAGAGCAGAAACUUUGAAAAGGCGUUGUUGGUACUGCGCACCGGAGUGAGAGGUUACUUGGUCUUGAACAAAAUUGACCUUGGUAGCCUACCUUAUGAAGAAAAUUGGUCCAACUGCUGUAUUGAAUUGUUCACAUUGUGGAUUGAGUCGUACACCAUCCUUGAAUUUUGCGGGUUCCUUUGCUAUCUGAAUAAAAUUGUUCGAGGUACCUUUAUCUAUUCGAGAAAAUUGGUGCAGCUAUUGCAUUGAAUUGUAUACAUCUUGAUUUGUUUUCGAAUUAAUUGUUGUAUCACAAAGUAUGCAUGUUAAGUUUUAACUGGACAGGUUUUACAGUCUAUAAGUUAAACUUAAAAGAACCUUGAAGUUUUAUAAUUACCUCACGGGGCUUUUUGUUUUU